GACGAACGCUGGCGGCGUGCUUAACACAUGCAAGUCGAACGGAAAGGCCCUGCUUUUGUGGGGUGCUCGAGUGGCGAACGGGUGAGUAACACGUGAGUAACCUGCCCUUGACUUUGGGAUAACUUCAGGAAACUGGGGCUAAUCCCGGAUAGGAGCUCCUGCUGCAUGGUGGGGGUUGGAAAGUUUCGGCGGUCGGGGAUGGACUCGCGGCUUAUCAGCUUGUUGGUGGGGUAGUGGCUUACCCAGGCUUUGACGGGUAGCCGGCCUGAGAGGGUGACCGGCGACAUUGGGACUGAGAGACGGCCCAGACGCCUACGUGAGGCAGCAGUGGGGAAUAUGGCACAAUGGGCGGAAGCCUGAUGCAGCAACGCCGCGUGCGGGAUGACGGCCUUCGGGUUGUAAACCGCUUUCGCCUGUGACGAAGCGGGAGUGACGGUAAUGGGUAAAGAAGCACCGGCUAACUACGUG
This 468-nucleotide ribosomal RNA is filed under the name uncultured bacterium. RNAcentral describes it as "partial 16S ribosomal RNA". It matches the Rfam family "Bacterial small subunit ribosomal RNA", at positions 28 to 507 of the family's 1533-position model. The record is from RNAcentral.